AUUCUAUCCAUGUGGGGAAGGAUGAGAAGCUUCGACUAAGGUUCGAUUCGAGCGAAAGCGAGAAAGCGUUGCCGCAGGCAACGACCCGAAGGGCGAAGCGCGCAGCGCUGAGUCAUCCUUCCCCCAUCACCA
RNAcentral lists this small RNA (132 nucleotides) under Salmonella enterica. Its description in RNAcentral is "RtT sRNA". It matches the Rfam family "RtT RNA". Rfam says of the family: This family represents a bacterial cis-regulatory element known as RtT RNA. The exact function of RtT is unknown although it is thought that it may be involved in changing the cellular response in relation to amino acid starvation. The record is from RNAcentral. Lineage: Bacteria; Pseudomonadati; Pseudomonadota; Gammaproteobacteria; Enterobacterales; Enterobacteriaceae. RNAcentral also lists the same sequence under 4 other names.